ACGGAGGAUGCGAGCGUUAUCCGGAUUUAUUGGGUUUAAAGGGAGCGCAGACGGUUUGUUAAGUCAGUUGUGAAAGUUUGGGGCUCAACCUUAAAAUUGCAAUUGAUACUGGCAGACUUGGGUGCAGAUGAGGUAGGCGGAAUUCGUGGUGUAGCGGUGAAAUGCUUAGAUAUCACGAAGAACUCCGAUUGCGAAGGCAGCUUACCAAACUGUAACUGACGUUCAUGCUCGAAAGUGUGGGUAUCAAACAGGAUUAGAUACCCUGGUAGUCCACACGGUAAACGAUGAAUACUCGCUGUUGGCGAUAGACAGUCAGCGGCCAAGCGAAAGCAUUAAGUAUUCCACCUGGGGAGUACGCCGGCAACGGUG
Molecule: ribosomal RNA, 369 nt
Filed under: uncultured bacterium
Lineage: Bacteria
Description: bacterial SSU rRNA
Rfam family: Bacterial small subunit ribosomal RNA
Source: RNAcentral